Molecule: long non-coding RNA, 615 nt
Filed under: Mus pahari (shrew mouse)
Lineage: Eukaryota; Metazoa; Chordata; Mammalia; Rodentia; Muridae
Description: lncRNA (MGP_PahariEiJ_G0004799.1)
Source: RNAcentral
AGAGGCAUCACCAGCUCCUGAUGUCACCUCUCAGGCCAGGCCCUGAAGUAGACUUUUAAUUCUUUCGGGGGGGGGGGGUGCGAGACUAGGCAAGAAGCAGUACAUCUCUUGCCACCACAGAUCUAGAAAAGCCUGUUCUUGGACAGCCGGAGGAAGCUAGAAAAGCUCGGGAGUGGAUCCCAAUCUAACUGGGCUCCUCCGUCAAUGAGUCCAUCUGGUUUGGAAUAAACCCAGAGGCAGAGUUUAAACUGCAGGGCUUCCCGGUGGGCUGCAGUAAAGGCUAGACUGCACUUGAAACCCGCCUCACUCUUCUCCACACCCUGGACCCGCCCCUGGAGUUGCCCUUUGGAAGUAGUGCCUCGAUAUGGUAUACUUGGCUCCUCAAGACCGUUCCCUGGAGAGCCAGCAUCAAACAGGGGAACCUGAGUUCUAAGUGGAUGAACAGUUUUCCCUGAAUUGGAUCCUCAAGACCAGCCACAUGGAAUGAUCGCUGGAGGAUCCAGAGUGAAGGUUGCCUUCUAGAACUCUGUUACCUUGUCUUGUCUCUGUCGAAAUAGCAAUGUCAUUUGAACCCUUGGCUCUCUUCCUGACUAAAUAAUGAUUGCCUUUCCAUCC